GACGAACGCUGGCGGCGUGCUUAACACAUGCAAGUCGAGCGGCGCGGCGAACGGGUGAGUAACGCGUGAGUAAAUGCCCCCCUCUCUGGGAUAACAGUUGGAAACGGCUGCUAAUACCGGAUAGUGGGGGAUGACUCGCGUCCUAUCAGCUUGUUGGUGGGGUAGUGGCCUACCAAGGCGACGACGGGUAGCCGGCCUAGAGGGCGACCGGGCACAAGGGGCUGAGAUACGGCCCAAAGGCGUACGGGAGGCAGCAGUGGGGAAUAUUGCACAAUGAGGGAAACCCUGAUUCAGAGACGCCGCGUGCGGGAUGACGGCCUUGGGGGUGGAAACCGCUUUCAGCGAUGACGCGGUAGUGGCAGAAGAAGCACCGGCUAACUACGUGCCAGCAGCCGCGGUAAUUC
RNAcentral lists this ribosomal RNA (404 nucleotides) under uncultured bacterium. RNAcentral's name for it is "partial 16S ribosomal RNA". It matches the Rfam family "Bacterial small subunit ribosomal RNA", at positions 28 to 526 of the family's 1533-position model. The record is from RNAcentral.